RNAcentral lists this ribosomal RNA (924 nucleotides) under uncultured Bacteroidota bacterium. RNAcentral describes it as "bacterial SSU rRNA". It matches the Rfam family "Bacterial small subunit ribosomal RNA", at positions 1 to 916 of the family's 1533-position model. The record is from RNAcentral. Lineage: Bacteria; Pseudomonadati; Bacteroidota.
GGAUCCAGACUUUGAUUCUGGCUCAGGAUGAACGCUAGCUACAGGCUUAACACAUGCAAGUCGAGGGGAAACGACAUCGAAAGCUUGCUUUUGAUGGGCGUCGACCGGCGCACGGGUGAGUAACGCGUACCCAACCUGCCCACCACUUGGGGAUAACCUUGCGAAAGUAAGACUAAUACCCAAUGAUAUCUCUAGAAGACAUCUGAAAGAGAUUAAAGAUUUAUCGGUGAUGGAUGGGGAUGCGUCUGAUUAGCUUGUUGGCGGGGUAACGGCCCACCAAGGCGACGAUCAGUAGGGGUUCUGAGAGGAAGGUCCCCCACAUUGGAACUGAGACACGGUCCAAACUCCCACGGGAGGCAGCAGUGAGGAAUAUUGGUCAAUGGGCGAGAGCCUGAACCAGCCAAGUAGCGUGCAGGAUGACGGCCCUAUGGGUUGUAAACUGCUUUUAUAAGGGAAUAAAGUGAGUCUCGUGAGACUUUUUGCAUGUACCUUAUGAAUAAGGACCGGCUAAUUCCGUGCCAGCAGCCGCGGUAAUACGGAAGGUCCGGGCGUUAUCCGGAUUUAUUGGGUUUAAAGGGAGCGUAGGCCGGAGAUUAAGCGUGUUGUGAAAUGUAGACGCUCAACGUCUGCACUGCAGCGCGAACUGGUUUCCUUGAGUACGCACAAAGUGGGCGGAAUUCGUGGUGUAGCGGUGAAAUGCUUAGAUAUCACGAAGAACUCCGAUUGCGAAGGCAGCUCACUGGAGCGCAACUGACGCUGAAGCUCGAAAGUGCGGGUAUCGAACAGGAUUAGAUACCCUGGUAGUCCGCACGGUAAACGAUGGAUGCCCGCUGUUGGUCUGAACAGGUCAGCGGCCAAGCGAAAGCAUUAAGCAUCCAACCUGGGGAGUACGCCGGCAACGGUGCAACUCAAAUGAAUUGACGG